This 467-nucleotide ribosomal RNA is filed under the name uncultured bacterium. RNAcentral describes it as "partial 16S ribosomal RNA". It matches the Rfam family "Bacterial small subunit ribosomal RNA", at positions 28 to 506 of the family's 1533-position model. The record is from RNAcentral.
GACGAACGCUGGCGGCGUGCUUAACACAUGCAAGUCGAACGGAAAGGCCCUGCUUUUGUGGGGUGCUCGAGUGGCGAACGGGUGAGUAACACGUGAGUAACCUGCCCUUGACUUUGGGAUAACUUCAGGAAACUGGGGCUAAUACCGGAUAGGAGCUCCUGCUGCAUGGUGGGGGUUGGAAAGUUUCGGCGGUUGGGGAUGGACUCGCGGCUUAUCAGCUUGUUGGUGGGGUAGUGGCUUACCAAGGCUUUGACGGGUAGCCGGCCUGAGAGGGUGACCGGCCACAUUGGGACUGAGAUACGGCCCAGACUCCUACGGGAGGCAGCAGUGGGGAAUAUUGCACAAUGGGCGGAAGCCUGAUGCAGCAACGCCGCGUGCGGGAUGACAGCCUUCGGGCGGUAAACCGCUUUCGCCUGUGACGAAGCGUGAGUGACGGUAAUGGGUAAAGAAGCACCGGCUAACUACGU